Molecule: small nucleolar RNA, 132 nt
Filed under: Dasypus novemcinctus (nine-banded armadillo)
Lineage: Eukaryota; Metazoa; Chordata; Mammalia; Cingulata; Dasypodidae
Description: Small nucleolar RNA SNORA38 (ENSDNOG00000040444.1)
Rfam family: Small nucleolar RNA SNORA38
About the family: ACA38 is a member of the H/ACA class of snoRNA that guide the sites of modification of uridines to pseudouridines.
Source: RNAcentral
CCCUCCUACAAAGGCGUGUCGGUGGUUUCUUGUCCUUGGACACAUAAGAAUUGGAGGCAAAAAGAUGUGGACUUGGAGAAGUCUGGUGCCCGCUUGCUCCCCGCAGGCUCAAGAUCAUCCUUUCCCACACAG